GGUGUGCGAUCCAUUAGGUUCCUUUUAGCGAGGCAGUGGGCGAUUAAAACCAUUUUUACAUCGAUUGUGAAUUUGAAACUUACUUUCAAUUCUCCCUUUAGUGAUUACACACGUUUAGGGCUUCCACAAACCAUGAGUGACACCUAGCAGCAUAUCAUGGUUACCCAAGCUAAUCAGAAGAGGUCAGAGAACCUAUUCAGUUUGGGAUUACAAAUGCAAUACGGUCUUUCUCUAAUCUAAUACUCUUGACCACAUUGUUUGGUUUGAUAGUUUAUAUGUUCAUGUCUACUAUCCAAUGUGAUUCGUGUGCUUAUAUGAUUUCCUUGAAUGUGAUUUAGAACGACUUUUCUAAAUCUCAUUCAUACUCUGGCCAGAGAUUCUAAAUCAUAUCAUAGAGUAUUCUCCCUCAAACAGUUUGAAGGUUAGAGAUCCUUUGUUGCGCAUUCACUUGCCUCCAUGGCUAAGUGGCUUAACCCCAACGAUGCCGUGGACACCCUCCUGAUGGAGUGACUUUGACAUAAUCAAAGAUCAAGGACUUAACCACAAGACAACUAUGAUGCCUCAGGUCAAAGGACUACUUUGCAUUAUCCCAACCAUGAGUUCUCAUGUGACAUGAGUAUGAGAACUCUUCGUCGAUCAUGUUCAGUGAACUCAUUCUCUAUUGAGCACCUACGUACUUGUCUUGAUGUCACACACACCAAUGACUCGAGACUAGUCACUCUCCCUGAGAGAAGACAUAGCACGUACCGAUCUUGAUGGACUGUCAAUGCCCAAUUGGCAAUAGGAACAUUUAGGAUGUGUCUACGAAAGAAUGGUCUCAUGAAUCUAACUUCAAUAGAUUACAUUCUCCCAAUCACAUAUUCCUUGGACUUUAUCGUUUAAGCAUAUAACAUUUAUAUGAGACGGCUCAAACAAUAAUCUUUGCCCUUUAUAUUAAACUAGAUUAGUUUAACAUGUGAAAUGUCCGUAAAGUAUCAUCAUAUGAUUGGCUUUAGGGCACAUUUCCAACAAUCUCCCACUUGCACUAUAGCCAAUCAGCUUAGUCAUCAGUGAUGAUACCUCUUUUGUAGUCAUUUCAUAAAUGGCUGAAUAGUAGGCCUAGACAAUGGCUAUCUAUAUGUUAUCCAUAGAAGCAACCUUGAGAAUAACGACGUCACCAUUAUACAUGAUUCUCAAUCAUGUGGUUCAGUCUCUCAUUUGAGUUCGGAUCUUGAUGAGACCUUGAUUCCCUAGCUUGAGCUAUCGCCCCAUUAGUGUCAUACACUUUCUGGUUGGAACCGAAUAGAGAGUUCAUAAAUGAACUUUCCCAUCCAAACAACAUUGUUGUAAACUUCUUUAUGGCAAUAUAUUUUGCAUUCAUAAUGGAACACACUAAAGUCAUUACUUUAAUGUUUCCAUCCAAAUAUCUCUUUAGUCAUAAUAAAGAGAUAUCCGUUUAUCUCUUCAUUCAUAAUGAAGAAACAUCCAAUGAUGGAUUAGAUUCAUAAUCUAAUACAUUUACGCUUCCAUUACGUUACUCUAAUUCUUCCUCAUUCUUUGAGGAAUUUAUCCUUUAGUAUUUCUUAAAUACUUAAGGACUCACUUGACAGUUGCCAUGGUUCUGAUCCUGGGCUUGCACUGAUAUCGUCUUGUACCGUUCUAGGUACAACUCAUAUCAAUGUUUUUCAUACAAUAUGAAAUACAUAAAUCACCUUUAUGCGUAUGCAUAAAGGAUUCUUAUUUACGCAUUAUUUCUUUGGGAGUCAAAGGGUACGUUCCCUUUGAGAAGGGGAACUUUCCAGUCACACUAGAGUCGUCUUUCUAAUUGAAGUUUAUCAUCAUAUGAGAAACUUCCUAGCAUCUUUUGUCUAUUAUUAGGGAUUGAUAUAAUCAAAUUAUAUCUUGAAAUCUAUCAAUAUAUAUUUCCAUCCCAUGUAUAUAGACUAUGUCUCCCAUAUACAUUCUAUCUUCAUAUAAUGUUUAAAGUCAUAACUUUAACGAAGAAAUAUUCUUUUCAUUUCCAAAAUUAAUAUAUCAUAUAUAUAUUCAUACAUAUCACAUAUAUAUUUAUAUAUAUAUAUAUAUACAAAUUUAGGAAUAUGAUUAACUCCCACUAAUCUUUUGUAAACCUAGUAAACAAAAGAUUCAUUUACAUCUUUAUGAGAAAGCAAACGAUUUGACCUUUCUCUGAUAAGACGCUUAUAGCUCCCACUAGCUUGCUAAGAUCCAUGAUGGAUGGAUCUCUACAACUUACAUGUCUUGUGAUUCAUAGUUUUAGACAUAUAUUAUCAAGACUAUCUUAAUAAUGGUUUCGGAAACCUAUAUUAUGUCCAAACAUUGAAUCACCAUUUAAUUGUAGCUAGCAAUCUUCCAAUUAAUUGAAACUAAGACUACGUCAAAAAUGGUUCCUUCAAAGUCAACCAUUUUCUUUGAUUGUAGUCACCUUAAGCUACCAAUUAGCUUAUGAAGGUUUCAUUAUUUCGGGUCAAAUGGUACUUUACCAUUUCCUUGAGUAUAUAUCGUAUAUGCACUCAAUGUAGUCAUAAGGAUUUUCAUUCUUAUUUCUUUCGAAUUAAGAGGUGCAACUCUAUGACAUAGUCAUAAAGUUCAAACCAUUCAACUGAGACGGUUUAUAAAUCCUUCUCGACUACCUUGGAGCUUUUGGUAUAGGAACUAGGUUGUUAUAUUUGUUGAUUAUUAUCUUGUCUCUCACAGAACCAUUCUUUGAGUUCUAUCCCUCGUUCAUUUGCUCUUAGGCAAAUCACAUUGCAGGAUUACAAUGAACUACCCAACAAAACAACAUUUGUUAGUUGGUAUAUAGAAGCGAUAUCCAAAAGCUAAUUUAAGGAUAUCCCACAAGAUUGUUAUCUAACAAAUAUUGCUUAUUAGCACACAACCCCAAAUCUUAACAUGUUUUAAGAUUUUGUCUUUCUUUCCAACUACAUCUUAUGGAGUCAUGAAAAUAUUGGAAGAUCUUCUAAUUUACAAUCAUAUUGUUUUAGAAGUAUAUAUCCUAUAUAUGGGUAAUAGAUAACAUCUAACGAACUAAAUCUCAUUCGAGUUCGUUCUUCUCCUAAUGGAGAAAUACAUUAUCUUAUGAUGCUUAUUUCCUUAAUAUCUUUCAAGGAAACUGUUCUAAAGUGUUACCUUAUCUUGGAUCAAAUCUAAGGAGGUAAAUACUUUAGACGUCUUACUCAUCAACUUACAUUACUUGAAUUCUUUGAAACCUUUUGCAAAGUAUUCGGACUUAUGUUUAUUUAAAAUAAACUAUAGUCCAACCGAGGGUGAUCUUCGGUGAAUGUCAUCCAACAUGAGUAGUAUUAUGUUUGUGGACAAGUGCCACUAACAUCUAAGUGAAUUAACCUCAACAACUUUGUGAUUCUUUCUUCUUUCCAAAAGAAUAAAGAUUCGAACAUUUCGCCUCUAUACAAUUUUAACAAGAAGGUAUUGGAUCCGGAUCUAACAAUCCAAAGCAUCCAUUUAUUACCAACUCGUAAUUUAUGUUUUUAGAGGAAUCACAAGUUAGUUGGGAUUAGUCACUACCUUGCAACCUUUUGGGUUUUAAGCAUCAUUAUGUUCUAAACAGUUAACACCACCAUAUUAUCUCUACUAUAGAGACAAUCAAUUAGAUUACCAUAAUCCAAUCAUUGAUUAAUAAAGAACAAUGUUUUGUCAAACAAAACAUUUAUCCAUUUCACAUAGUGACAGAAUUUAGUUCCUUAAAAUUGGAAUAUAAAGACAAUCUAUGUUUUUCCAAUUUCUUUGGUAGUUCAUAUGAGGAAGUAAGUACCAUCUGCUUUCGCAGAGAUCUAUAUUUGAUUCACUUUCCGAAUGUGAAGCACCUUUUCCUUCUCUCAUAUAUCUUCUACUUCUUAUUAGUAACACUUUUACAACGAUUGUAAAACAUAGUUACUAAUACGGAAUCAAGCAUUCAAGUAGAAGAACCAACUGUUUUGAACUUUUCAAGAACAAUUUACAACACCUUCGAAAGGUGUGUUCUUGACAUUUGCAAGACAUUUCUUGCAAAUACCACUUCCAAUGUCCAUCAUUUCAUAAAGAAAGUUUGUUCCCUUGGAGUUAAUUUUAUCUUCUUCAUUUGACUUCUCCUUUGACUACAAUAGUCAUGGUCCCUAAACUCCCACUAUCUCUCUUGAAACUUAUUUCAAUUGUGUUAUACACAUCAAACAUUUUGGAGAGCAUGUGGUUAUUGUUCACUACAUAAUUUACAAUAAACUUAGUGAACCAUUAGGAUAGGGGCACUUAGGUGAAGUCCUUGCCUAGUUUCCGUCUCAUUAAGUGGUUUAUCACUUCAACACUUAAUGAUUCAAAAUCAUUAUAAGUCCAUGUUAAUGGACUAUUUUUGUCAACCAACCAUUAUGUUCUAAACAUAAUUACAAACCUUCAAGAGUUGUACAAGGCAACUCUCAUUUCUUCAUACAACAAUUUGUAAGUGAAGAAACAUGGCACAUAAAGUGUCCAUGCCUUUGUGCUUUCUUCUCAAGUUCUUUGUUCAUUUAACAAAGAAACAAGCACUAGUGUUUGCAUUGACUAAGGGUUGUUCAAAGCAACUAUUAUUUCUUCAUACAACGAUUUGUAAGUGAAGAACUAAUAACACUAAAAGUGUCCUUGUCAUUAUGCUAAUCUUCGUAAGUUCCUUUGUUCAUUUAACAAAGGAUUAAGCAUUGGUUGUUUGUGUUGUCCUCUUCAUGAUAGACCUUUCUAACAUGUUCUUCCAAUGAUACAUUAUCAUUAGGAAGAUUGUGAGGAUGAGACUAUUUAGGUACAUAUACAAUCCAUUUAAGACAAUCUUUGGGAUUGUGUUACCAAGUCCAGAAACUAAAGCAUUCGGCUUUUCUUUGUCAAGUGUUGGAUAGCGUUUGCAAAUAUAUUGGUAAACAAAUACAUAACGAAUAUAAAUUGAUUGAUUUUAAGCCAUUUGAUUCGGGUCUUUAAAUCAAAUAGCACCACCCACUAUUUUUGGCAAAUUCCAUAUCCCUCAUUGGAAUUUGAGAGUUUUGGAUGAAACUCCUAGUAGGUUAUGGGAGGCUCACUAUUACCAAGCCCACCUCAGAAGAACUCCAUAUUGGCUAGCAACAAUAAUAAUGAGAUAGUACGCUUACUCAUUUGCAACUAAUGCAAGUACCCAUCUUAUUUGGCCUCUAGAGAAUGAUGCCUCAGAAGAACUCCAUAUUGGCACCAUUGCACUUAGUUAAGUCAUUCCCACCAUGCUAGUUCAAGUAGGGGUUCAAGAAUGGCCUCAGAAGAACUCCAUAUUGGCCAUACUCGUUGCCUACUUUCACUUCAUCAUAUGUUUAUAGGCUUCUCCUGAAUGUAAGCACAUACUUUGCAACCCCAGAACUGGACGAAUACAUUGUAUGAGUCACAAACGAUUGAAGCCUACCACGGUGGAAGGCCACGAAAGAGUGUUCAAAGCACUCUCACGCUUUUCAACUUAAUAUUGGUUUGGUUGAGGGUUUUAGGUCUCAUCACAUAUAAACAUACAUUUUAAUCUCUAUUAAAACAAUUUUGGUCCUAUUACAACUAUUGGUCCAUAUGAUUGUUUUAGUUGUAUAUAAUACUCCCACUAUGCUUUUAAAACGGUUUUUAAAGCAAGAGUAUAUGAUACUACUAACAUAAACUUUGCAUUCAUUUAAUGGACUAUAUAGUUGCCUUAGGGCCUUAGGAUGACUAUGAACCUUUGUUUAGAUUCAACACGAGCCUUGUGUUGAAUCUCGGUCUAGGGAUAGUGAUUGAUUUUAGUUACGCGUUUAAUCACAUUAAGGCGUGUUGUCUUAGGGGCGUUGGACCCAGCUACUUCAUUUUCAUGCAUAUCAAAUAAAGCAAGAAAGAAGUACUUCAAAGUAAAGGUGAGCUUAUGCUCAUUACAACAUUUGCAUAAAACAAAUUACUUUAAAGUAAAGAAGAGCUCAAGCCCUUUUACAACAUUUGAUCAAAUCAAAUUACAACCAAAAUUAAUCUACACAUUCCCAUGGUUCAAACAAAUUUGAAACGGCCUAUCACAUAGCUCAAUUAUAUUAGGCUUAGGUUCAUAAUCACCCUUUAAUUAAUUAACACUUUAACUAAUUAAAUUGAAUGCAACAUUUUCAUUUGGUUUUUGUAUCCAUAAAAUUGAUUUAAAUGGAGCUAAACAAAAUGAAAAUCCAAUUCUCAUUUAAAGAGACAAAACAAUUUUGUUCUCAACCUAAUUUGGGCCAUCAUGCAAUAACCACAACUAAUUUGGGCUAUAAAGCAAUUAACCUCAACUUUUGGGCUAUAUUGCAAAACUUUUGGGGUCACUUUGUAAAGACACAAAAGUCCACUACUUCAUGUAAUUACAUUAGAACCCAAAAUUUAAUCAAUGCAAAAACUUCAUUAAAGGAUCAAAACAAUUUGUCCUUUAGCGUUUUUGGACCUAAACGUAAAAACGUAAACUUUUGGGCCUAAGUGCAAAUACACAAAAGUAUCAAAACUUUAUGUAAUUGCAUAAAAGCCCCAAAAGUACUCCCACUUGAGGGAGGGCCGGUUUUGGAAGAAGAAAUGGAGUGAUGUGUGUGUUGAUUUGUAGUUUGACAUAAAGCAUGCAAGUGCACAAGUGGUGUGUGUGAAAGGGUUUUAAUCCUUUCACACCCACCAUUAUUUCUAUUGCCAUUUAAACAAAUAUCUAAAACAUUUAAACAUUUGAAAAACAUAAAACAUAAACUUUAUGAAAUAAAUCAAAACUUUGAAUCAAAACACAAACCUUUUUGUUCUUGGCAAAAAUGUCAAGAACAAUGAAGAAAAUUCAUGAAAAACCCAAAAUUUUUCCAUGAACAUUUUUUUCACCCAAAAACAUUCCAAAACCAUUCAAACUUUAGGGAAAUAACAUCUAACCAAACUAGGGUACAUAAGGGUUCCAAAAGUCACUUGAAAACACUUUUAACAAGUCAAACAAGAACCCAAAAAAUCACCCUAUAUAUUUGGCCGAAAAUUCCCAAAAGCAUGGCACCAAAUUUUAGCUCCAAUAUUCAUGCUCAUAUGAACUACAUCUACAACAUUUGAGAUGGCAAAUUUUCUAAUAAAAUCUACAUUCAAAGAAACAAGAAUAAAGCUUGUAACAUAUUACAACUUUAAAUCACAAACUAUGAACUACAAAACCCAAAAGGAUUCACCAACUACUAGACCUAGGCUCUGAUACCACUUGAAGGAAAAAUUUGUGAAAACAUGUUCAUUUAAGCAACAUCAUAUAGCAUGCAAUUAACAAUUAAAGGCGGAAUCAUGCUAGCAUGCACUUAAAAACAAAACAUUAACCAAGAAAUUCAAAGCCUAGUAGAUUGGUGAACCAUUAAUCAACUCAAAACAAAGUGAGUUGAAAUUUAUACCUUUGAAGAUUCCUCUUUGCAUAAGCAAAGGCUAAUCACCCAAAGAGAGGGCCUUCAUUCCUUGCAUCUUAAAUCUAUGGAUUUGGAUGGAAGAAUAGGUUUCUCCAAGUUCCCAAAAUAGGGAACCUCUAAGUCUCUUCACCAAGGAGAGAUUGGAGAAGAUAUGAGUGACCUUGGAGUAGUAGGAUUGCUAGAUGUACCCCCCAAGGUGGCUGGCCUCUUUAGAGAGAAAUGGAGAGACAUGUUCUCUCCAAUUUUCCCCAAAAAAAAAACCCUAAUGAAUUUUAGGCUAUACAGUCAUAUUUAUACCUUUAUUCAUUUGAGUGGCAAACUUGUAAAUAAGUCCAAGUUCAUUACCCUUAGCAUCAUGGCCGGCCCUAGGGUAUUUUGGGCUAAUUAGGCCUUUGUGAAUCAUUAUUCAUUAAGUUGUCAUACAACUUAAAUCAAUGGACUUGACGUUCGAAGCCCAUUGGGCCUUAAGGUCCAAAACUAUCCCCGAGGUCUUUAACGAACUUAUUCGUUUGAUUAAUUAACAUAUUAAUUAAUCCUUGCCAUAAAUAAAUGAUUAAACCAUUUAAUCAUUCUUACUCAUCUCCGUUUAAUCUCCAAUCUCCACCUCUUAUGGUGUGCGAUCCAUUAGGUUCCUUUUAGCGAGGCAGUGGGCGAUUAAAACCAUUUUUACAUCGAUUGUGAAUUUGAAACUUACUUUCAAUUCUCCCUUUAGUGAUUACACACGUUUAGGGCUUCCACAAACCAUGAGUGACACCUAGCAGCAUAUCAUGGUUACCCAAGCUAAUCAGAAGAGGUCAGAGAACCUAUUCAGUUUGGGAUUACAAAUGCAAUACGGUCUUUCUCUAAUCUAAUACUCUUGACCACAUU
This 8216-nucleotide long non-coding RNA is filed under the name Malus domestica (apple). RNAcentral describes it as "long non-coding RNA (MDOM_LNC000117)". Lineage: Eukaryota; Viridiplantae; Streptophyta; Magnoliopsida; Rosales; Rosaceae. The record is from RNAcentral.